GUUGCAAGGAUUGCGAAAUCUGUGAAUUGUCUGAUCAUUUCCUAGAUCUAUCCAGGGACAUCACCCAUUUACUAGUUGAAGGUGACCUCGUAAGUAAAUGUGUAGAUGUACACAUUGGGGAGUCGGUGUUUCUUGUUUUUAGAUCCCCUCAAUAUCUUAUCUGUGACAACGGCUGCGAUAUGCAGAUGAGAAGUAAACUUUUCGUAUACCUUUGUGAACGUUAUCAAGUUAAAUUGGGGUUUACACCAUUUUACUAUCCUCAAGCAAAACUCUGCUGAACGAGUGAAUCGUAUGGUUAAACAGCAGAUUUCAACAUUCUUUAAAGACAAACAAAAACAUGGGGAUGGUAAUUUAGCGUCAAUUGCCUGUGCACUUGGUAAUUCGAGACAUACCAUACCGUGCAAACUUCGAAAAAGAAUUUCCGCGGUGGUAUUUGCGACCUGGACUUGACUAAUGACGAACUUAUUAGGGCCGGUAUUAUAAAGCCCGCUUGAACGCAGAUUGGCGUUCAACCGUAGUUUGAGUGCGAUUGCGCGUAUUAUAAAAGCCGCUUAGUCUUUAACCAGAGCUCAAUCUCCGAUUGUAGUCAACCCGCCAAUUUUCUCGGGUUUUGGCGCCCAAACGGAGAUUAGGCGCGCGAACGUGUAAUGAAUUGAGGUUAUCGUAACCAUUUUGUUUUGUGUCAUUAGGGAGUUUGCGGACACGUAUUUUUCGUUACGUUAAACGUCCAUUUUUUCUUAUGAUAUAACGUAAGGGAAAUUUAGUGAAACGCGCUUGCGGAUAAGUUUAUUGUUUAUGAUUUUAAAGAUCCUAACCUUACACUUACUAUGUUGUGAGAAUGGCGAAGCUGUCUGAAAAUGAAAUACUUUUGUUAGAAGAUGAUGAUAUUGCGAGUGCUAUCCUAUACGAGACUUUUGAAAGAGCAAUUGCAGAAAGGAAAAAACUUUUUUCCAUAAAUAAGUUUAAUUUUGAUUCCAUUCCCUUAGAUAAUUUUAGUUUCCUAUUCCGAUUUGAGAAAAAUGACAUACAACAUUUGUACUCAGCUUUGCAAUUACCCAACAGGUUUGAAACAUGUGACCAGCACAUUCUGGAUGGUAAUACCUAAAAAGUAUGUCAUUUACCGCUCUUCUUAAGUAUUGAAGGGAUAUGCAUGUUGCUCCAACGAUUAGCUUAUCCUAACAGAUUGAAGGAACUACAACAGCUGGAAUUUGAUUGAUUUACGUUAUUUAUAACCAUAAGGUAUAAAAGUGUCUUUAUACGGUACAAAUCUUAAGCUUUUUUACGUUAUAAGUUAUAACAAGUUCUAUAACAUGAAAUAUACAUCCGCAAACUCGUCAUUAUUUCUAUUUAUAACGAAAUGGAAAUAAUUGGAAUUGGACGUGCAAGGGAUCGGUUAGAGUGCGCAGUAAGCGACGAUGACUCUUCAUCAUAGAAUGAGUUAAUUAGAAGAAGAGCAGAAAACGUGUUGAUCAUUUCGACAAAGUGGGAUGAAAAGGAAUUUCGGCAGAGAUUUCGGUUAUCCAAGGAUACUGUUAGAUUCCUGGAAAACAGGAUUGUAGGACUAAUUGUCUGUCAUCCUACCCCUUGAUCUACCCUACCUUCUAUAGCUAGCUGUACUAAUUCUCCGUGUCUGAGCACGUGUCGUAUCAUUUUAUCUCGUCUUCUCUGUACGGUUUUCCACAACGGGGUGUUUAACUAAUUAAUAAUUUACAAUCAAUGGUGAGGCUGUCAUCGUCACCAGUUCCAGCUUCAUUACCAGUGAGGUUUUUCACUGUACCAGCGACUUCGUCAUACAGGAGCGUUAAGCUCGGCUUAAUAUCAAUCGAGCCGCAGCCACCCCUCGUUUUAUACCUGCUGGCCGCUCACCGCCAACACUUUCCUCAUUUCUGAUGAGCGUCCGCGUCCGUAAAAGCGACUGGCUUGUCUGUCAUUGGCACAGUGGCUGGCAGAACAGCGCUGCGUAAAACGAUUUCGUAAGGUGAUGAACAUAUCAGCACAGUGACAGUGGCAAAUGGCACAUAAACGAAAAGAACGAACGGGGCCGGUGCACCGAUGCGAAAAGCUGUCAGCUGACGUAUCGACCACUGAAACUUUGCGCUCUGAUUGGUCCUCGGUCCGCCCGCAGUGUUGCCAUCCUAGAGAUCGUAAACGUAAACGGAGAUUAACCAAACGCUCUUCCAAAGGUGUUUAUAAUACGCAACCGCUCUCAAUAUUGGUUUGACGUUCAAUCGCCGUUUUAUUAAUCUCCGCUUGAACUAUGCUUUUAACCGGCCCUUAAAGAAGCUGGGUGGUGCUCAAUUCUAUGCAAGCUCUCAAAGUUCUCAAAAUUUAUGGUCAAUCGAAUCAACCGCUGUGAGGAGUCUUAAGCCCUUUUAUUCUACAACCCUGGUCUCCUAGGUACUAUGUUAACAUAUUUUUUUGUAUUUUUCAGAACACACAAUGUCCGUCGCAUCAGAAAACGAAAUUAGAGUUUUCGAGGAGGUGGUGGAGGUCCAUCGGGACACCGAAAGCGUUGGCGACGUCCCAAAGACAGAUGUAACUCAGAACCAUAAAGAACGUGGACCUAGAUGAGUACCUCGAGGUGGACACGGUCGAGGGGGUGGACGAAAACGAGGACGACCACAAGGAAGAGGCAGACAUGGUAAGGAGGGACAAGGAUAAGCAAAGAAGACCAUCAGCCCACCGGCACCGGCUCCGCCCGCAUCGGUGC
Molecule: long non-coding RNA, 2710 nt
Organism: Photinus pyralis (common eastern firefly)
Lineage: Eukaryota; Metazoa; Arthropoda; Insecta; Coleoptera; Lampyridae
Exons: 4
Source: RefSeq, a predicted model, not a curated record